Molecule: ribosomal RNA, 466 nt
Filed under: uncultured bacterium
Lineage: Bacteria
Description: partial 16S ribosomal RNA
Rfam family: Bacterial small subunit ribosomal RNA
Source: RNAcentral
GACGAACGCUGGCGGCGUGCUUAACACAUGCAAGUCGAACGGAAAGGCCCUGCUUUUGUGGGGUGCUCGAGUGGCGAACGGGUGAGUAACACGUGAGUAACCUGCCCUUGACUUUGGGAUAACUUCAGGAAACUGGGGCUAAUACCGGAUAGGAGCUCCUGCUGCAUGGUGGGGGUUGGAAAGUUUCGGCGGUUGGGGAUGGACUCGCGGCUUAUCAGCUUGUUGGUGGGGUAGUGGCUUACCAAGGCUUUGACGGGUAGCCGGCCUGAGAGGGUGACCGGCCACAGUGGGACUGAGAUACGGCCCAGACUCCUACGGGAGGCAGCAGUGGGAAAUAUUGCACAAUGGGCGGAAGCCUGAUGCAGCAACGCCGCGUGCGGGAUGACGGCCUUCGGGUUGUAAACCGCUUUCGCCUGUGACGAAGCGUGAGUGACGGUAAUGGGUAAAGAAGCACCGGCUAACUACG